AGGGCACCACCAGGAGUGGAGCCUGCGGCUUAAUUUGACUCAACACGGGAAAUCUCACCAGGCCCGGACACCGGAAGGAUUGACAGAUUGAGAGCUCUUUCUUGAUUCGGUGGGUGGUGGUGCAUGGCCGUUCUUAGUUGGUGGAGCGAUUUGUCUGGUUAAUUCCGAUAACGAACGAGACUCUGGCCUACUAAAUAGACGUUAGAUCCCUUUGUGGGUCUAUCGCAGCUUCUUAGAGGGACGGGCGGCGUUCAGCCGCACGAGAUUGAGCAAUAACAGGUCUGUGAUGCCCUUAGAUGUUCUGGGCUGCACGCGCGCUACACUGGAGGAAUCAGCGUGUGUUCCCUGCCCGAAAGGACUGGGAAACCCGUUGAACCUCCUUCGUGAUGGGGAUUGGGGAUUGCAAUUAUUCCCCAUGAACGAGGAAUUCCCAGUAGGCGCGAGUCAUAAGCUUGCGUCGAUUACGUCCCUGCCCUUUGUACACACCGCCCGUCGCUACUACCGAUCGAGUGAUUUAGU
This 519-nucleotide ribosomal RNA is filed under the name uncultured eukaryote. RNAcentral describes it as "SSU rRNA". It matches the Rfam family "Eukaryotic small subunit ribosomal RNA", at positions 1161 to 1702 of the family's 1831-position model. The record is from RNAcentral.